Molecule: RNase P RNA, 466 nt
Filed under: Pseudobutyrivibrio sp.
Lineage: Bacteria; Bacillati; Bacillota; Clostridia; Lachnospirales; Lachnospiraceae
Description: RNase P RNA component class A
Rfam family: Bacterial RNase P class A
About the family: Ribonuclease P (RNase P) is a ubiquitous endoribonuclease, found in archaea, bacteria and eukarya as well as chloroplasts and mitochondria. Its best characterised activity is the generation of mature 5'-ends of tRNAs by cleaving the 5'-leader elements of precursor-tRNAs.
Source: RNAcentral
AAGGUCCGAUGAGUAGUCGCUGCUUCAUUGUAAUGAUGGAGGAGAGGAAAGUCCGGGCUUCACAGGGCAAGGAUGCCGGCUAACGGCCGGUGGAGGUAACUCCAAGGAUAGUGCAACAGAAAUGUACCGCUCAGCUAUGAGCGGAGUAUGGCUGUAAUAAUGCACAGAUUCAAGCUGGCUUGAGUAUCUGUGUAUUAUUGCAGCUGUACUGGGCGACAGCCCGUACCGAGAAAAGUGUAACUUUUCGAGGGACCGCUCAUAUGAGUAAGGGUGGAAAGGCGGUGUAAGAGACCACCGUGCCGCUGGUAACAGCGGUAGCCAUGUAAACCCCAUCCGAAGCAAGUUCUAAAAAGCGCGUACGCGGCCCGCCAGCGCUAGGUUGAACGCUUGAGGCUGUUGGCAACAGCAGUCCUAGAUAGAUGACUACUUUAAAUGACAUAACCCGGCUCACAGUCGGGCCUUUUAU